RNAcentral lists this ribosomal RNA (658 nucleotides) under Conidiobolus sp. RNAcentral describes it as "partial large subunit ribosomal RNA". It matches the Rfam family "Eukaryotic large subunit ribosomal RNA", at positions 50 to 640 of the family's 3401-position model. Lineage: Eukaryota; Fungi; Entomophthoromycota; Entomophthoromycetes; Entomophthorales; Conidiobolaceae. The record is from RNAcentral.
GCGGAGGAAAAGAAACUAACAAGGAUUCCCUUAGUAAUGGCGAAUGAACAGGGAAAAGCUCAAAUUUAAAAUCCUUUUUAUUAAGGAAUUGUAGUUUAAAGAAAUAUGACCAGUAACAACCUCGGUUUAAGAUAACCUGGAAAGGUUCUACAGAGAGGGUGAUAUACCCGUAUUUGGCUGAGGAGUUGAUUACAUAGAGUUAUAUUUUAAAGAGUCAGGUUGCUUGGGACUGCAGCCUAAAAUGGGAGGUAAAUUUUUUUUAAGGCUAAAUAUUGGCAAGAGACCGAUAGCGAACAAGUACCGUGAGGGAAAGAUGAAAUAGAACCUUGAAAAGGGGUUUAAAAGGAAGUGAAAUUGUUAAAAGGGAAACGCUUAAAGGUCGAGAUAAAUAAAAAGGAAAUGAUAUAUUAUUAUAUUAUGCUCCAAUUUAUUAGCGGUUAACGGGUAUUUUAAACAAUGGAGAAGAGUUUAAUAAAGGUAGGUUGGGGUUAAACCUAACAACUUAUAGGAUUAAAUUUUUACAUUGAUUAAGAUAUCAUAAAAAAAAAAAUUUAUAAAUUUUAAUGAAUUAGAUUAAUUUAUUAUUAAAACAGUACUUGUACUCUUUUAGUAAAUAAAAUGAUAAAAUUUAUUAAAGGUUAUAAAUUAGUUUGACCUA